UCCGUCAGAUACAAAAGCUCUUAAGCAAAACCAAUGGGAAAGUAGUUAGUGAUGUUAUGACUUCUGCACCUCUUGUGGUGCGUGAAACUACUAACCUUGAAGAUGCUGCAUGGUUACUUCUUGUUACUAAAUACCGCAGGGCUGCCAGUAGUCGACAAUUCGGGCAAAUUGGUUGGAAUCAUCACAAGAGGGAACGUCGUCAGAGCUGCUCUUGAGUUUAAGAAAAAUGUUGAAGGGAGUCUUUGAAGUGGAACUGUAGAUGAUCCUUUCCGAAGGUGGAACUUGAACAUAUUGCUAGUAGGCAAGCGUACUGAAAAAACUGUUGCAGCAAUUAGCAAACUUAUCCAUGUUUACACAACAUGCUAGUUUAAUUACAGUUGGGAUAUAUGUACUGUCACAGCCCUAGAAUUCUUUUAGCUCCAAUAAUUAUUUU
Molecule: long non-coding RNA, 433 nt
Organism: Triticum dicoccoides
Lineage: Eukaryota; Viridiplantae; Streptophyta; Magnoliopsida; Poales; Poaceae
Exons: 3
Source: RefSeq, a predicted model, not a curated record